This 393-nucleotide long non-coding RNA is filed under the name Rattus norvegicus (Norway rat). RNAcentral's name for it is "long non-coding RNA NONRATT024919". Lineage: Eukaryota; Metazoa; Chordata; Mammalia; Rodentia; Muridae. The record is from RNAcentral.
GGAAAUCAACUUCUUUGCCAGGGAAAUUCAUCAUCCCCCAGACUGUUUAAGAGACUUCAGGAGAAGCCUGUUCAUUCAUAUCUACACUGAUCUCUUGUCUGCAAAGUCCCUUCCCUGUGCUCAGUCCUGGGAAAAGAAGCAGAGACAGCUCCAUUCCCCGAGAGGAGAUAGAGGGUCAUCAGACUUGGAAGCCCUGAGUAGCUCCUGUGGUUGCACAACAGGACCUCAGGCACUGGGGCUGAAGCCCAAGCCUCCUGCCUCACUUCCCUCUGCUCCAGCACAUGGAGAACAUCCCGGAAGAUCAGUGUUUAAAGAUAGAAUCCAGACCACUUGCCUCGACCCUUGUUAGAAGUGAUAUAAACAAGCCUAGGAUGUUCCGGGGAGGAGCAAGGU